CCACCAUCCACGUCGGCCGCCGAACCCAAGCCAACACCGAACCCGAUUCCCAAUUGCCUUAUCCACCCUCGCCGUGAGCCGUUCGAGCAUGGUCUCCUCCCAAUUCCCAAGCUCAUCUUCCCUGACCCUACUCAAACACUCAUCCAACUCAGGCAGAAACUCGUCUCCAACCCCCGUGUUGACACUGCCACCCUCGCUGACACGCUCCAGAUCUCUGCCGACCAUGCUAGGCUCGUUCUCGACACUC
Molecule: unclassified non-coding RNA, 247 nt
Filed under: Hevea brasiliensis (rubber tree)
Lineage: Eukaryota; Viridiplantae; Streptophyta; Magnoliopsida; Malpighiales; Euphorbiaceae
Source: RNAcentral